GACGAACGCUGGCGGCGUGCUUAACACAUGCAAGUCGAACGAAGAGCGAUGGAAGCUUGCUUCUAUCAAUCUUAGUGGCGAACGGGUGAGUAACGCGUAAUCAACCUGCCCUUCAGAGGGGGACAACAGUUGGAAACGACUGCUAAUACCGCAUACGAUCUAAUCUCGGCAUCGGGGAUAGAUGAAAGGUGGCCUCUACAUGUAAGCUAUCACUGAAGGAGGGGAUUGCGUCUGAUUAGCUAGUUGGAGGGGUAACGGCCCACCAAGGCGAUGAUCAGUAGCCGGUCUGAGAGGAUGAACGGCCACAUUGGGACUGAGACACGGCCCAGACUCCUACGGGAGGCAGCAGUGGGGAAUCUUCCGCAAUGGACGAAAGUCUGACGGAGCAACGCCGCGUGAGUGAUGACGGCCUUCGGGUUGUAAAGCUCUGUUAAUCGGGACGAAAGGCCUUCUUGCGAAUAGUGAGAAGGAUUGACGGUACCGGAAUAGAAAGCCACGGCUAACUACGUG
RNAcentral lists this ribosomal RNA (510 nucleotides) under uncultured bacterium. RNAcentral describes it as "partial 16S ribosomal RNA". It matches the Rfam family "Bacterial small subunit ribosomal RNA", at positions 28 to 507 of the family's 1533-position model. The record is from RNAcentral.